CCGCCCGGCACCACCGGUCAAACCAUGGCGUAGGGCGAAUAACCGCAUCGCGGUUAUCCGCCGGCUGUGCAGGGCAGCGGCCCUUGCCCGGAUUUUGGGCAGCGUGCACCAGCAGGCGACAAAUCGGCAUCAAUCGCUGGCGGAAAAGCCCGCUCCGUCA
Pseudomonas aeruginosa PAO1 is the source of this 160-nucleotide small RNA. It matches the Rfam family "Pseudomonas sRNA P33". The record is from Rfam. NCBI's taxonomy places the organism in Bacteria, Pseudomonadati, Pseudomonadota, Gammaproteobacteria, Pseudomonadales, Pseudomonadaceae.